This 572-nucleotide ribosomal RNA is filed under the name Cremnops cf. posticeniger H8259. Its description in RNAcentral is "eukaryotic LSU rRNA". The record is from RNAcentral. Lineage: Eukaryota; Metazoa; Arthropoda; Insecta; Hymenoptera; Braconidae.
CCUGAGAAACCUAAAAGUUCGUAAAGAGAGAUUCAAUGUUGACAUAUACAGUAUUCACGUGAGUAGUGAUGUUAGCUWUGCUGGUYGGGAUAAACCUUCCAGUUCAAUUCUAACACAUUUUCAUGUUAUUCUAUUGCUGUACUUGUCGGCGUGCACUUCUCUCUUAGUAGGACGUCCCGACCCGUUAAGUCUUAGCCUACGACCUGGAUGGUAGUCUUUAAUAUUUUUAUAUUGAAGACCUCCGGUGUUUGUCUGGCCUAAGUGCUUGACGGUAAGUAUGACAUGGUAUUGAGCCGCAAUUUUUUUUGCGUCCGGCCUUCCGCAAGUUUAUUGACAAAUUCUGUAUCAUCAUAGACUUUGUGCUAUGUGUAUGGUUUUGUUGGCUGUUUGCCUGGAUGUGCUUUAGGACUGGCUUAUUUGCCUGUCAGGGACGCUUAGGCUUUGGGUACUCUCAGGACCCGUCUUGAAACACGGACCAAGGAGUCUAACAUGUACGCGAGUCAUUGGGUAUAAAUAUUCCUUCGGGAAUUUUUAUAGACAGAACCUARASGCGAAAUAWNAGUAAAGGUSRG